UGUUGGCGAGCUCUCUCCGCAAGUCAAUGAUUUCAGACAUAUUGAUGCCAGUGCUUCUGCUUUUCAUAUCCGGAUGUUCUCAUCAAAUUCGGAUGACCUCUCUGAUGAUGAUUAGGGUUUUCUCGCAAUUGGUUGAGUCCUACGGUAGAUAACUAAGUGAAAAUGGUACAUACCGUCCUUAGGUGUUUGUUAAUUCCACUUCUGUUCAUGUAUCAUAUGAAGAUUGAUUAUUUUGUUUUCAUAA
Molecule: long non-coding RNA, 244 nt
Filed under: Nicotiana benthamiana
Lineage: Eukaryota; Viridiplantae; Streptophyta; Magnoliopsida; Solanales; Solanaceae
Description: long non-coding RNA (NBEN_LNC001152)
Source: RNAcentral